CCUACGGGAGGCAGCAGUGAGGAAUAUUGGUCAAUGGACGCGAGUCUGAACCAGCCAAGUAGCGUGAAGGAUGACUGCCCUAUGGUUUGUAAACUUCUUUUAUAUGGGAAUAAACUGUUCCACGUGUGGAAUUUUGUAUGUACCCUAUGAAUAAGCAUCGGCUAACUCCGUGCCAGCAGCCGCGGUAAUACGGAGGAUCCGAGCGUUAUCCGGAUUUAUUGGGUUUAAGGGUAGCGUAGGUGGGUUGUUAAGUCAGUUGUGAAAGUUUGGGGCUCAACCGUAAAAUUGCCGUUGAAACUGGCAGUCUUGAGUACAGUAGAGGUGGGCGGAAUUCGUGGUGUAGCGGUGGAAUGCUUAGAUAUCACGAAGAACUUCGAUUGCGAAGGCAGCUUACUGGACUGCAACUGACACUGAGGCACGAAAGCGUGGGGAUCAAACAGGAUUAGAUACCCGGGUAGUC
RNAcentral lists this ribosomal RNA (460 nucleotides) under uncultured bacterium. RNAcentral describes it as "partial 16S ribosomal RNA". It matches the Rfam family "Bacterial small subunit ribosomal RNA", at positions 338 to 795 of the family's 1533-position model. The record is from RNAcentral.